CCAGCUUCCUCCAGACCAGAGAGAGCGCUGGGUGUCUCCUGUGGCUGGCGGCCUGCCUGAGAGGAGAAGUGGCUUCUGGUGUAAAUGGGUGAGGAAACAUGGGCACAGAGAGGUCAAGCAACUUGUUUAAUGUCACCCAGCCAGUUAAGUGGAGCCGGGACCUGAACCCAGCCCAUGGAGUCCCCAAACCCUCAUGCUCUGCUGCCUUACACAUGAGCUGAGAUGAGCAUGGAUGGAAGAGAG
This is a long non-coding RNA of Manis pentadactyla (Chinese pangolin), 243 nucleotides long. RefSeq lists it as uncharacterized. The transcript is spliced from 2 exons. Lineage: Eukaryota; Metazoa; Chordata; Mammalia; Pholidota; Manidae. The record is from RefSeq and is a predicted model, not a curated record.